GCUGGUGUGGCUCAACGGUAGAGCAGCUGAUUUGUAAUCAGCAGGUUGAUGGUUCGACUCCGUUCACCAGCU
Molecule: transfer RNA, 72 nt
Filed under: Clostridiales bacterium
Lineage: Bacteria; Bacillati; Bacillota; Clostridia; Eubacteriales
Also listed under: 1 other name
Description: tRNA-Thr
Rfam family: tRNA
About the family: Transfer RNA (tRNA) molecules are approximately 80 nucleotides in length. Their secondary structure includes four short double-helical elements and three loops (D, anti-codon, and T loops).
Source: RNAcentral